This 831-nucleotide ribosomal RNA is filed under the name uncultured Gammaproteobacteria bacterium. Its description in RNAcentral is "bacterial SSU rRNA". It matches the Rfam family "Bacterial small subunit ribosomal RNA", at positions 90 to 925 of the family's 1533-position model. The record is from RNAcentral. Lineage: Bacteria; Pseudomonadati; Pseudomonadota; Gammaproteobacteria.
GACGAGUGGCGGACGGGUGAGGAACACAUCGGAAUUUGCCCAGUCGUGGGGGAUAACGUAGGGAAACUUACGCUAAUACCGCUUACGACCGGAAGGUGAAAGCGGGGGAUCGCAAGACCUCGCGCGAGUGGAUGAGCCGAUGUCGGAUUAGCUAGUUGGUAGGGUAAAGGCCUACCAAGGCGACGAUCCGUAGCUGGUCUGAGAGGAUGAUCAGCCACACUGGGACUGAGACACGGCCCAGACUCCUACGGGAGGCAGCAGUGGGGAAUAUUGGACAAUGGGGGCAACCCUGAUCCAGCAAUGCCGCGUGUGUGAAGAAGGCCUUCGGGUUGUAAAGCACUUUUAUCCGGAACGAGACGCGCAGGGUGAAUAUCCUUGCGAACUGACGGUACCGGAGGAAUAAGCACCGGCUAACUUCGUGCCAGCAGCCGCGGUAAUACGAAGGGUGCAAGCGUUACUCGGAAUUACUGGGCGAAAAGGGUGCGUAGGUGGUUUGUUAAGUCUGCUGUGAAAUCCCCGGGCUCAACCUGGGAAUGGCAGUGGAUACUGGCGAGCUAGAGUGCGGUAGAGGGUAGUGGAAUUCCCGGUGUAGCAGUGAAAUGCGUAGAGAUCGGGAGGAACACCAGUGGCGAAGCGGCUACCUGGACCAGCACUGACACAGAAGCACGAAAGCGUGGGGAGCAAACAGGAUUAGAUACCCUGUAGUCCACGCCCUAAACGAUGCGAACUGACGUUGGGUGCACUUGCACUCAGUGUCAAGCUAACGCGUUAAGUUCGCCGCCUGGGGAGUAGGUCGCAAGACUGAAACUCAAAGGAAUUGAGGGGCCCGCA